CCCUUAGAUGUUCUGGGCCGCACGCGCGCUACACUGAAGGGAUCAGCGUGUUUUCCCUCCCUGAGAAGGGCGGGUAACCUUUUGAAUCAGCUUCGUGGUAGGGAUCGGGGCUUGCAAUUGUUCCCCGUGAACCAGGGAUUCCUAGUAGACGCGAGUCAUAAGCUCGCAUCGAUUAAGUCCCUGCCCUUUGUACACACCGCCCGUCGCUACUACCGAUUGAACGUUUUAGUGAGGCAUUUGGACCGACGCAUCUCAGUUUAACCGCUGGUUUGUGUUGGAAAGACUUCCAAACUUGAGCGUUUAGAGGAAGUAAAAGUCGUAACA
This 324-nucleotide ribosomal RNA is filed under the name uncultured eukaryote. RNAcentral's name for it is "partial 18S ribosomal RNA". It matches the Rfam family "Eukaryotic small subunit ribosomal RNA", at positions 1470 to 1796 of the family's 1831-position model. The record is from RNAcentral.